Non-coding RNA from Paramuricea clavata, 88 nucleotides. The record is from the annotation of a GenBank genome assembly. Lineage: Eukaryota; Metazoa; Cnidaria; Anthozoa; Malacalcyonacea; Plexauridae.
CCUUCGAUAGCUUAGUUGGUAGAGCGGGGGACUGUAGUUGGUCACUGCAUUGAUCCCUAGGUCACUGGUUCGAAUUCGGUUUGAAGAA